UUUUUAUGUAUAUCUCGAGAACCGGACCACCUAGAAACUUAAUUUUUUUUUUAAAUUAAAGCUGAGAAUCCGGGCCACCUAAAGGGCUAGCCGGGCGCCGGGUGGCAUGCAUAGAAUCCAGGUACAAGUUGAGCUGGAGGGAAGGAGGCCAGUGCACGGUGCUAAUCUUGAAUUCAGCAACAACUCACCCAAAGGCAAACAGCAUUUCAUUGGAGCCCCAUGUGAUGUUCCUGCUUAUAGUGUAAAUAUGUUUUGCCUAUGGGAGCUGAUGGCUUGGAGGCAAGCAGGUAGUGGCAAGAAGGGUAACUAGGCUGGUAAGGAGGUGCACCAUCAAGUCUGUUAGCAGGUACAGAGAGAAGAGCACCCCAAAACAACUCAGUCUGCAGCUGAGCAAGGACCAGGCUGACCUUUCUUGUCCUCACUGCCUUUUGUUGAGCUGGUACAAACAAAUACCACCCAAUAAAAUGGUGCAGAGAUUAAAGUACCUGGGUCCCACUGCCAGAGAUCCCAAUUCAAGAGGUCCAGUGCUUCAAGUUUCUAGCAACCUGCAAUUGUGUCCAGUUACUAUAGUCCGCACUGGCAAAACUAACUGCAAUGAAAUCAUUUUUCAUGGAACAGAAUUAGAUUGUGUCCUGCUCAGGGAGGAAGCCAUGAGACAGAGUCAAAGGUAGGAGUAAUUCCUGUUUUAUUAAAGGAAUUGAUACAUCAAAGGCACAACGCUUCAUAUAGGUCUCUAUGCUAACUCACUGAGGUCCCUAACUAAACUCUACACAUGCUCUGCGGCAUAUGGAACAAGUUUACUCAGCACCCAAACCCAGGAGCUGCAGUCUUAAGUAGGAAACAUUUUACAGCGUAAUCUCUUCGCAAAACCUCCCUCUGCCCCAUCCUUUUCUCACAGCGUCUGGAGUGAGGUGAAGGGGGACGAGCUUCCGUCAAGUCAUCUGAAAGAACUGGCUCCUUAACAGCAACCUUGAGGUCAGGGGGCGGGAAAGCAUUUGAAUCAUCCUGGAAGCCACUUGGCAAAGGGGGAGUGCACGCACGCUCCGAAACAUCGCCCAACUGCUGUCCUGGCAUGACCGGGGCCUGCGCGCUGUCCUCUUCGGAGGCUGCGCCUUCCGUGGAAAUUGGCAUGACGUGAAACCCACUCCCUUCCCCAAGGUCUUAAGAAGACAACAACUACUGGUUCCUCCACGCCUUCUGACAGCUAGGGAACCUGAAACUCAUGCCUUUUCCCUCCCUGGACCUCACGAGAGAGCUGGGGCUCAACAGAUUGCCUUCUUCAGAAACAGGGAAACCAUGAUGUCAUAGAGAACUAGGAGUUUAAUGUGAAAUUAAAAGAGUUACAUGUGAUCCUUCAUUCACGUGUUUUCAGCCGGCCAACCUGCCUCCAUUUCUAACAGGGUUACAUCAGGUUACCAUAUGUUUUACUCCAGAUACGGACUUCUCAUGGCAUACAUCCUAUUUUAGGACAGCAGGAAGGAAGGUGGGGAGGUUCUCAAAUUAGAGUUCCCAGGAGCCAGAAUCCGACAUCUUGCCUCAUGUACCAUGAGCACCCUGUUUCUACUGUAAACCUGACAGACUGAGCUCUUUGCUUCAAGAGCACCAUCUAGGCUGAGAUACUAAUUUUCCUCACCAUCCAGCCAGCUAACUCCAAGGGCUAAUUCUGGUGCCACCAGGCCAUACAAAACCCUAGCCCCAAAACUUAAUUUGAAUGUUUAAAAUAUGUCUGGUUUGAGACAGUGUAUAUGCCUGCUCAUUGCUGCCUUAGAUUUUGACUCCUGACUGGUUAUGACUAUGUACAUACUUCUGGCUACUCUAAUCUUUGCUUGCUGCUCUGGAACUCAAUGCCUGCCUGCUGUGGACCAUACUUGGGCUGACACCCUUCUGCCUCACUUGGACUGAUGGCUUCCUCCCAGAACUGAACUGCCUGGAACCUGACCUUUGUUGAGGCUUGAUAUGUAAGGACAUAAAAAGAGCCCUGUUGCGUCAGGCCAGUGAGUGGCCCAUCCAGUCUACAUCCUGUUCUCCCCGUGGCCAACCAGGUGCCUUUGGAAAGUCUGCAAGCAGGAUGUGAAGUGCAACAGCAUUCUCUCAACUUGUGAUUCCCAGCAACUGGUAUUCAUAGGCAAAGUGCCUUCGACAGUGGAAACAGAACACAGCCAUCAUGGUUAGUAGCCACUGAUAGCCUUUUCUUCUGUAAAUUUGUCUAAUCUCCUUUUAAAGCUAUCCAAGCUUGCAGCCAUCACUGCCCCUUAUGGGAGUAGAUUCCAUCGUUGCUGUGUGAAGAAGUAUUUUCUUUUGUCUGACGUCAGCUAACAUUCAGCUUCAUUGGAUGUUCAUGAGUUCUAGUUUUAUGAGAGGCAGAAAAACUUCUCUCUAUCUACUUUCUGCACACCAUGCCUAAUCUACACCUCUGUCAUGUUGCCCUUGCUUAUCUUUUUCUAAUCUAAAAAGCCCAAAAUAUUGUAAUCCUUCCUCAUAGGGAAUUCCUUCAACAUUUUGGUUGCCGUUUUCUGGAAAAUUGUGGUAGUUAGUCAAAACUGCAUACAAAAAUGUGUUUAUUAGGAAACUAGGAACUUUGCCCCUGCAGACCUCAUGAGCCAACCCCACCCUAUCAGGCACCCCCAUCCCCCACUUGCAAUAUCCCCCAGUGCCUCCAAGUGUUAGCACAUAUCGGCCACCAUGGGCCCGCUCACCUCACCUGUUCCUGCACCACUGUAGGCCCCUGCUGCCCCCCAUCAAGUCCUGCCAGCGUGCAGCAACACCUGAGCCACUUACCGGCCUCUCACCCAGAUGCUCAAGCUGCUGCCACCCCUCUUCCUCCCACCCAUCUUCCUUUCUUCCUCUCCAGCCUGAGCAGUGUGGCUCAGUCGCAGUUUGCAAUGCCACCUGUCUGUGGUCAAGCAAACUGCAGCAUGAUGGAUUAGCAGUUUAAAAAAACAUAGUAUAGAGAGAGAUAAAGAGAAAUUCAUAUUAAAAUGCUGACAAAUUUUCAUGAGGAUUUUUUUUUUAAAUCACAAAUUGCUACUGAAAUGUGGAGAACUGAAUUUAAGAUUUGAAAAAUUAGAAACUGAGAGUACCAAAAUUGAUAGAUCUUUCCAUUCCUAUUGGAAUGAUACAUCACCACCAGAUCAUAGUUCAGGAAACUGCCAUGCCGAAGUUUCCCUAGAUGAAACUGCUGGAAGGAAAGGUGGGAUAUAAAUAAAAUAAUAAAUAAAUAAAAUAAUAAAUAAAACUGGUGCAAAUAGGACACAGUCUCUCUGUGUGACCCACAAUAGUAGGGCAUAGCAGAAUUCAGUGUCUUUUCUUUCUUUUAAAGACUUUGAAAAAUAUGAUUAGUUAAAUUUUAGUUUCCUCCACUCCGACUUUUAAAAAUUUCCUCAAAUGUACAGGAAAUAAGGAGUCAAACAGUUUAAUAACAUAUGAUGUACAUAUUAAAAAUAUUAAAUAGUAAUAAUUCUAACAAUGUUAAUGUCAGUCUACAAAUCAUGUAAAGCCUGGUGGUAAGCAACUUUGCCUGAUGCUGAGGUUACAUUCUUCCUUGCCAUCAUAAUACUGCUGUGUAUUAUGUCCUUAUGUUUAUAAGUAUAGCCCCCUCUGCAAAUAUGCAAGCCAUGGCCCUAGGCUGACAGGGACAGCUCCACCAGUAGGCAAAGUGAGGGGAAUAUCUCAGGUGGAGGUUCUAAGGGAUCUGUAGCAGCCCCCCCCCCAUUCUGCUGAGGUAGCGAUUCCAUGGCUGUGAUACUUGCUUGUUGCUAUGAAUGUCAGAUAAUACCAACAAAAACAGAAAUGCAGAUGAAAUUGCUGAUGUUCACUUAUUCGUCCCAUGUCCGGAACAGAAAUCA
Rhineura floridana is the source of this 3845-nucleotide long non-coding RNA. RefSeq lists it as uncharacterized. The record is from RefSeq and is a predicted model, not a curated record. NCBI's taxonomy places the organism in Eukaryota, Metazoa, Chordata, Lepidosauria, Squamata, Rhineuridae. The transcript is spliced from 3 exons.